GGGAAUGUGGCUUAGUGGUAGAGUGCUUGCUUAGCAUGCAUGAAGCCCAGGGUUCAAUUCCUCAGUACCA
This 70-nucleotide transfer RNA is filed under the name Dipodomys ordii (Ord's kangaroo rat). It matches the Rfam family "tRNA". From Rfam's summary of the family: Transfer RNA (tRNA) molecules are approximately 80 nucleotides in length. The record is from Rfam by way of RNAcentral. Lineage: Eukaryota; Metazoa; Chordata; Mammalia; Rodentia; Heteromyidae.